GGGCAGUUAGCUCAGCGGUAGAGCUUCUGCCUUACAAGCAGAAGGCCACAGGUUCAAAUCCUGUACUGCCCA
The sequence is a transfer RNA, 72 nucleotides long. It matches the Rfam family "tRNA". Rfam says of the family: Transfer RNA (tRNA) molecules are approximately 80 nucleotides in length. Their secondary structure includes four short double-helical elements and three loops (D, anti-codon, and T loops). Further hydrogen bonds mediate the characteristic L-shaped molecular structure. tRNAs have two regions of fundamental functional importance: the anti-codon, which is responsible for specific mRNA codon recognition, and the 3' end, to which the tRNAs corresponding amino acid is attached (by aminoacyl-tRNA synthetases). tRNAs cope with the degeneracy of the genetic code in two manners: having more than one tRNA (with a specific anti-codon) for a particular amino acid; and 'wobble' base-pairing, i.e. permitting non-standard base-pairing at the 3rd anti-codon position. The record is from Rfam.